GUUGACCUCGGAUCAGGUAGGAAUACCCGCUGAACUUAAGCAUAUCAAUAAGCGGAGGAAAAGAAACCAACAGGGAUUG
Molecule: ribosomal RNA, 79 nt
Filed under: Robillarda sessilis
Lineage: Eukaryota; Fungi; Ascomycota; Sordariomycetes; Amphisphaeriales; Sporocadaceae
Also listed under: 18 other names
Description: partial 28S ribosomal RNA
Rfam family: Eukaryotic large subunit ribosomal RNA
Source: RNAcentral